GACGAACGCUGGCGGCGUGCUUAACACAUGCAAGUCGAACGGAAAGGCCCUGCUUUUGUGGGGUGCUCGAGUGGCGAACGGGUGAGUAACACGUGAGUAACCUGCACUUGACUUUGGGAUAACUUCAGGAAACUGGGGCUAAUACCGGAGAGGAGCUCCUGCUGCAUGGGGGGGGUUGGAAAGUUUCGGCGGUUGGGGAUGGACUCGCGGCUUAUCAGCUUGUUGGUGGGGUAGUGGCUUACCAAGGCUUUGACGGGUAGCCGGCCUGAGAGGGUGACCGGCCACAUUGGGACUGAGAUACGGCCCAGACGCCUACGGGAGGCAGCAGUGGGGAAUAUUGCACAAUGGGCGGAAGCCUGAUGCAGCAACGCCGCGUGCGGGAUGACGGCCUUCGGGUUGUAAACCGCUUUCGCCGGUGACGAAGCGUGAGUGACGGUAAUGGGUAAAGAAGCACCGGCUAACUACGUG
Molecule: ribosomal RNA, 468 nt
Filed under: uncultured bacterium
Lineage: Bacteria
Description: partial 16S ribosomal RNA
Rfam family: Bacterial small subunit ribosomal RNA
Source: RNAcentral